Molecule: ribosomal RNA, 459 nt
Filed under: uncultured bacterium
Lineage: Bacteria
Description: partial 16S ribosomal RNA
Rfam family: Bacterial small subunit ribosomal RNA
Source: RNAcentral
CCUAGGGAGGCUGCAGUGAGGAAUAUUGGUCAAUGGGCGUAAGCCUGAACCAGCCAAGUCGCGUGAGGGAUGAAGGUUCUAUGGAUCGUAAACCUCUUUUAUAAGGGAAUAAAGUGUGGGACGUGUCCUAUUUUGUAUGUACCUUAUGACUAAGGAUCGGCUAACUCCGUGCCAGCAGCCGCGGUAAUACGGAGGAUCCGAGCGUUAUCCGGAUUUAUUGGGUUUAAAGGGUGCGUAGGCGGCCUUUUAAGUCAGCGGUGAAAGUCUGUGGCUCAACCAUAGAAUUGCCGUUGAAACUGGGGGGCUUGAGUAUGUGUGAGGCAGGCGGAAUGCGUGGUGUAGCGGUGAAAUGCUUAGAUAUCACGCAGAACCCCGAUUGCGAAGGCAGUCUGCCAAGCCAUGACUGACGCUGAUGCACGAAAGCGUGGGGAUCAAACAGGAUUAGAUACCCCGGUAGUC